RNAcentral lists this ribosomal RNA (464 nucleotides) under uncultured bacterium. RNAcentral's name for it is "bacterial SSU rRNA". It matches the Rfam family "Bacterial small subunit ribosomal RNA", at positions 338 to 795 of the family's 1533-position model. The record is from RNAcentral.
CCUACGGGGGGCAGCAGUGGGGAAUAUUGCACAAUGGGGGAAACCCUGAUGCAGCAACGCCGCGUGAGCGAAGAAGGCCUUCGGGUCGUAAAGCUCUGUUGUUAGGGAAGAACAAGUACGGGAGGAAAUGACCGUACCUUGACGGUACCUAACGAGGAAGCCACGGCUAACUACGUGCCAGCAGCCGCGGUAAUACGUAGGUGGCAAGCGUUGUCCGGAAUUAUUGGGCGUAAAGCGCGCGCAGGCGGUCUUUUAAGUCUGAGGUGAAAGGCUACGGCUCAACCGUAGUAAGCCUUUGAAACUGUAGGGCUUGAGUGCAGGAGAGGAGAGUGGAAUUGCCAGUGUAGCGGUGAAAUGCGUAGAUAUUGGGAGGAACACCAGUUGCGAAGGCGGCUUUCUGGACUGUAACUGACGCUGAGGCACGAAAGCGUGGGGAGCGAACAGGAUUAGAUACCCCUGUAGUC